RNAcentral lists this transfer RNA (72 nucleotides) under Camelus bactrianus (Bactrian camel). It matches the Rfam family "tRNA". Rfam says of the family: Transfer RNA (tRNA) molecules are approximately 80 nucleotides in length. Lineage: Eukaryota; Metazoa; Chordata; Mammalia; Artiodactyla; Camelidae. RNAcentral also lists the same sequence under 2 other names. The record is from Rfam by way of RNAcentral.
GAGGGUAGAGCUCAGUGGUAGAGCACAUGCCCUGCAUGCACGAGGUCCUGGGUUCAAUCCCCAGUACCUCCA